UACGUAGGGUGCGAGCGUUAAUCGGAAUUACUGGGCGUAAAGCGUGCGCAGGCGGUUUGAUAAGACAGAUGUGAAAUACCUGGGCUUAACCUGGGAAUGGCAUUUGUGACUGUCAGGCUAGAGUGUGUCAGAGGGGGGUAGAAUUCCACGUGUAGCAGUGAAAUGCGUAGAGAUGUGGAGGAAUACCGAUGGCGAAGGCAGCCCCCUGGGAUGACACUGACGCUCAUGCACGAAAGCGUGGGGAGCAAACAGG
This 253-nucleotide ribosomal RNA is filed under the name uncultured bacterium. Its description in RNAcentral is "partial 16S ribosomal RNA". It matches the Rfam family "Bacterial small subunit ribosomal RNA", at positions 524 to 776 of the family's 1533-position model. The record is from RNAcentral.